GCCUUUAUAGCUCAGUCGGGAGAGCGCUAGACUGAAGAUCUAGUUGUCGCCGGUUCAAUUCCGGCUGAAGGCA
This 73-nucleotide transfer RNA is filed under the name Methanocorpusculum sp. MCE. RNAcentral describes it as "tRNA-Phe". It matches the Rfam family "tRNA". From Rfam's summary of the family: Transfer RNA (tRNA) molecules are approximately 80 nucleotides in length. RNAcentral also lists the same sequence under 1 other name. The record is from RNAcentral. Lineage: Archaea; Methanobacteriati; Methanobacteriota; Methanomicrobia; Methanomicrobiales; Methanocorpusculaceae.